GGAAAACAUUUUUAGAAUUUUUAAUCAAUUUAUUUGGAAAAGUGUUUUGGAAUUCAUAGAAGCUUGUGCUUCAGCUUUGCAACCGCAGUUGAAAUGAAUUGCAAUAUUCAUGGGGUUUUUUGCAUUUGAAGUUCGGUAUUCUUUUUCCACACUUUCCGCACAUCAAAAUGCAUUGGAUUUCGUCUUUCACUCCGCUCUCAGGACACCAAAAAAAAAGAUGAAAAAUGCGGAAAAAAAACCAAACGAAAUACAGCGCCUAAAAGCUUUUGGUGUGUUUCAUAGCCACAUAACCCCUUCAUUUUUAGAGCACAGCCAGAGAUGGGAGCAGAGCGGUGGAGAGGAUAGGGGAACAGAACAAAGCAAUGUCUCAAGUGGCAAGGCACAAAAAACGGUUGGCGUGUUCCGACGGAUUAAUGCGCACUGCUUGAGGGUGUAUAAUGCCAAAGUAUAAUCUAAUAAGCUGGUGAAAUUGUUAAAGGACCUCAUGGAUUUGCUUGGGGAUCUCUGUAAUGGGUAAAGUUUAAAAUUGCAUUAGAAGACUGCAUAAAUAACAAGGCAAAUACAAACAAGUAACCAGCACAAAUGCCAUGGGGAUGAGUGUCCUUAUUGAAUCGCUUCAAAACAAACAACAGAUCUUUUCCAGAUAAUGAAACAAAUAACAACAGACUAAGCAUAGAGCAAUUUAUUUGAAAAGGUGUGGAAGUUAUUAAGCUAUUGGUUACACAAAAUUGUUUAAAAAUAAAUAAUAAAUA
Molecule: long non-coding RNA, 752 nt
Organism: Drosophila albomicans
Lineage: Eukaryota; Metazoa; Arthropoda; Insecta; Diptera; Drosophilidae
Exons: 3
Source: RefSeq, a predicted model, not a curated record